CAGUAGCCACGGUAACACGAAGGGUGCAAGCGUUAAUCGGAAUUACUGGGCGUAAAGCGCGCGUAGGUGGUUUGGUAAGAUGGAUGUGAAAUCCCUGGGCUCAACCUGGGAACUGCAUCCAUAACUGCCUGACUAGAGUACGGUAGAGGGUGGUGGAAUUUCCUGUGUAGCGGUGAAAUGCGUAGAUAUAGGAAGGAACACCAGUGGCGAAGGCGACCACCUGGACUGAUACUGACACUGAGGUGCGAAAGCGUGGGGAGCAAACAGGAUUAGAUACCCCGGUAGUCCCUGUCUCUUAUAC
RNAcentral lists this ribosomal RNA (301 nucleotides) under uncultured bacterium. Its description in RNAcentral is "partial 16S ribosomal RNA". It matches the Rfam family "Bacterial small subunit ribosomal RNA", at positions 509 to 807 of the family's 1533-position model. The record is from RNAcentral.